UAAAACACUAGUAAAGCUAUUACACUGCCUUGUCAAGGCAAAGUCGUGGGUUAAAACCCCGCGUGUUUU
This 69-nucleotide transfer RNA is filed under the name Paraulopus oblongus. RNAcentral's name for it is "tRNA-Asp". It matches the Rfam family "tRNA". From Rfam's summary of the family: Transfer RNA (tRNA) molecules are approximately 80 nucleotides in length. Their secondary structure includes four short double-helical elements and three loops (D, anti-codon, and T loops). Further hydrogen bonds mediate the characteristic L-shaped molecular structure. tRNAs have two regions of fundamental functional importance: the anti-codon, which is responsible for specific mRNA codon recognition, and the 3' end, to which the tRNAs corresponding amino acid is attached (by aminoacyl-tRNA synthetases). tRNAs cope with the degeneracy of the genetic code in two manners: having more than one tRNA (with a specific anti-codon) for a particular amino acid; and 'wobble' base-pairing, i.e. permitting non-standard base-pairing at the 3rd anti-codon position. Lineage: Eukaryota; Metazoa; Chordata; Actinopteri; Aulopiformes; Paraulopidae. The record is from RNAcentral.